UCGAGAGGCUUCGGCAAUGGGGGAAACCCUGACCGAGCGACGCCGCGUGGGCGAUGAAGGCCGUUAGGUUGUAAAGCCCUGUCGAGCGGGAAGAAACGCAGGUGGGCAAACAGUCCAUCUGUCUGACGGUACCGCUAAAGGAAGCUCCGGCCAACUCCGUGCCAGCAGCCGCGGUAAUACGGGGGGAGCAAACGUUGUUCGGAAUUACUGGGCGUAAAGGGCGUGCAGGCGGCCUUGUUAGUGGGAUGUGAAAUGCCCUGGCUCAACCAGGGAACUGCAUCCCAUACUGCAAGGCUUGAGUAUAGGAGAGGAUGGGGGAAUUCCCGGUGUAGCGGUGAAAUGCAUUGAUAUCGGGAGGAACACCAGUGGCGAAGGCGCCCAUCUGGCCUAAUACUGACGCUCAGGCGCGAAAGCUAGGGGAGCAAACAGGAUUAGGAUACCCUGGUAGUCCUAGCCGUAAACGGUGGGCACUAGGUGUAGGAGGCAUCGA
This 490-nucleotide ribosomal RNA is filed under the name uncultured Latescibacterota bacterium. RNAcentral's name for it is "bacterial SSU rRNA". It matches the Rfam family "Bacterial small subunit ribosomal RNA", at positions 355 to 835 of the family's 1533-position model. Lineage: Bacteria; Pseudomonadati; Candidatus Latescibacterota. The record is from RNAcentral.